Molecule: long non-coding RNA, 350 nt
Filed under: Neogobius melanostomus (round goby)
Lineage: Eukaryota; Metazoa; Chordata; Actinopteri; Gobiiformes; Gobiidae
Description: lncRNA (ENSNMLG00000017811.1)
Source: RNAcentral
GUAAAAGGAUCUCUCCAUUGAACCUUUGCCUUACUCGUUGUCAUGUGUUUCUCUCCUGUAGGGGUCGCUGUGGCCUGUGAGUUUCUUCUUCUGAACGGAGCGAAUGUGAACCACAGAGACCUGAGCGGACAGGGCGCUCUGCACGCCGCCGCCACCGCUGGACACACCGGUCAGGUGUCUGCUGCUGAAGCGAGGAGCCAAUCAGUACGCGGUGGACGAGCGAGGACACGACCCGCUGGCCAUCGCCAUGGAGACCGCCCCAAGCCGACAUCGUCACUCUGCUGAGAAUGGCUCGAAUGAACGAAGAGAUGAAGGACUCUGAGGGAGCGUUCGAGCCGUCGGUGAGUUCA